RNAcentral lists this ribosomal RNA (495 nucleotides) under uncultured bacterium. Its description in RNAcentral is "partial 16S ribosomal RNA". It matches the Rfam family "Bacterial small subunit ribosomal RNA", at positions 30 to 507 of the family's 1533-position model. The record is from RNAcentral.
UGAACGCUGGCGGCGUGCCUAAUACAUGCAAGUCGAGCGAACGGACGAGAAGCUUGCUUUUCUGAUGUUAGCGGCGGACGGGUGAGUAACACGUGGAUAACCUACCUAUAAGACUGGGAUAACUUCGGGAAACCGGAGCUAAUACCGGAUAAUAUUUUGAACCGCAUGGUUCAAAAGUGAAAGACGGUCUUGCUGUCACUUAUAGAUGGAUCCGCGCUGCAUUAGCUAGUUGGUAAGGUAACGGCUUACCAAGGCAACGAUGCAUAGCCGACCUGAGAGGGUGAUCGGCCACACUGGAACUGAGACACGGUCCAGACUCCUACGGGAGGCAGCAGUAGGGAAUCUUCCGCAAUGGGCGAAAGCCUGACGGAGCAACGCCGCGUGAGUGAUGAAGGUCUUCGGAUCGUAAAACUCUGUUAUUAGGGAAUAACAUAUGUGUAAGUAACUGUGCACAUCUUGACGGUACCUAAUCAGAAAGCCACGGCUAACUACGUG